GGAUUAGAUACCCUGGUAGUCCACGCCGUAAACGAUGAGUACUAGUUAUUAGAGGUAUUGACCCCUUUAGUGACGCAGCUAACGCAUUAAGUACUCCGCCUGGGAAGUACGGUCGCAAGACUAAAACUCAAAGGAAUUGACGGGGGCCCGCACAAGCGGUGGAUUAUGUGGUUUAAUUCGAAGCAACGCGCAGAACCUUACCUAGGCUUGAAAUCCUCAGAAUUCCGAGUAAUGUUGGAAGUGCCCGCAAGGGAAUUGAGUGACAGGUGCUGCAUGGCUGUCGUCAGCUCGUGUUG
RNAcentral lists this ribosomal RNA (296 nucleotides) under uncultured bacterium. Its description in RNAcentral is "partial 16S ribosomal RNA". It matches the Rfam family "Bacterial small subunit ribosomal RNA", at positions 775 to 1067 of the family's 1533-position model. The record is from RNAcentral.